CCACCGUUCAACUCGGCUUGCACUGCCGCGCGUUCUGUCAUCAUCAGAGUCAUCGUCGUCGUUUGUGGAGCCGCGAGGAGCUCGCCGUCGAGCUGCUUUGCAGCGCCGUCCCGUCCAUAGAGCCGAGCCCGAGCCCGCUUCGUCACCGCCGUCGGGGUCUUCAUCGUCGUUGGUGCGGUCGGAGCCGCCGUCGUUGGAGAGAGAGCAAGCGCGAAUCUGAGAAAGGGAGAGGGAGAGAGAUCCGACGCCACAGAGGAGGAAAGGAGAAGUCUUCUGUCAUCAACGCCACUCCUCUUCACCACCGCCGCCGCCGGAAUUUCUGGUUGCCGCCAUGAUUAAUGAUGAGUUAGUUAAACCCUAGCCAUGAGAACCACCAUCUUUGAACCCUUGUCACUCUGUAAAUAGCUUGUAUCUGCCUCUGAUGUUCUUGGCUAUGUUAUAUUUGUUGGAGCAUGUUUUAAUGGAGCCACUGGCGGGGUGAUGCUACUGCCGGAACCACCGCGGGGUGUUGCUAGGAAUCGCCCCUGCCCUGCUUCUGCUAUACUUGGGUUCAACAUCCAUUGGCCUGGAGCUGUUUCUGCCUUUCGAUUCCAUUGAAUUCGAAAUCUUCAUUUCACUGCAACCAUGGUCAUUGUUGUGGAAGCUAAUGCUACUGCUGUCCCGGUUGUGUUGAGAUGUAGUGCUGCUGCUUUCUGGGCAGAAACGAUUGCGUGACUAGUAGAGGUCCAGCCAGCUGUCUCGCAGCAAUUCUGCCAACGGUCUCUUGUAAUUGCGACAUCGAGUGACACAGGUUUGAAGACGCAAUUUGAAGCUGCGAGCGAUUAGUAGGUUUUCUUUAUGGUUUUAAUUGCUUUCAUAGAGUCCCCUCGCUCUUUUCCUUUGAAGUUUUAUUUUAUCAGAGGGGUAGGUAUUGUAUUUGGGUUUAUAUGACUUCCUAUGUAUAGGAAUUACUAUUAAUAAUACUUAUAUGAUUGUAUUAUUAUUUGCAA
Molecule: long non-coding RNA, 989 nt
Organism: Arachis duranensis
Lineage: Eukaryota; Viridiplantae; Streptophyta; Magnoliopsida; Fabales; Fabaceae
Exons: 3
Source: RefSeq, a predicted model, not a curated record